This 1188-nucleotide ribosomal RNA is filed under the name human gut metagenome. Its description in RNAcentral is "bacterial LSU rRNA". It matches the Rfam family "Bacterial large subunit ribosomal RNA", at positions 806 to 1985 of the family's 2925-position model. The record is from RNAcentral.
GACUUGUGGAUAGGGGUGAAAGGCCAAUCAAACCCGGUGAUAGCUGGUUCUCCCCGAAAUAUAUUGAGGUAUAGCCUCGGGAAUUGAUUAGCGGAGGUAAAGCACUGACAGAGCUAGGGGUCCUACCAGAUUACCAAACUCUAUCAAACUCAGAAUGCCGCUUAAUUGUAUCCCGGGAGUCAGACGGCGGGUGCGAAGGUUCGUCGUCAAAAGGGAAACAGCCCAGACCAACAGCUAAGGUCUCCAAAUCCAUGCUCAGUGGUGAAGGUAGUGGAACCGUUUAGACAGCCAGGACGUUGGCUUAGAAGCAGCCAUCGUUUAAAGAAAGCGUAAUAGCUCACUGGUCUAAUGGCUCUGCGCCGAAAAUGUAACGGGGCUAAGCAUGGUACCGAAGCUUUGGCAAUCCCCUUUGGGGAUUGGGUAGGGGAGCGUUCGCUGCGGGCUGAAGGUGUAUCGGAAGGUAUGCUGGACUGCAGUGAAGUGAUUAUGCUGACAUGAGUAACGAUAAAAUAUGUGAAAAACAUAUUCGCCGAAAACCCGAGGUUUCCUGGGUAAAGGUAAUCUUCCCAGGGUUAGUCGGAUCCUAAGGUGAGGGUGAAAGCCGUAACCGAUGGAAAACAGGUUAAUAUUCCUGUACUUGUUGUGUAGCGCGAUGGAGGGACGCAGGAAGAUAGGCGGGCCGGGUGUUGGAUAUCCCGGUGCAAGCGUGUAGGAAUAUCCGGUAGGCAAAUCCGCCGGACGAAUCUGAGACGCGAGUCCGUGGGCGCAAGCCCUGAAGCCGUUGAGUCUAUGCUGCCUAGAAAAGCUCCUAAGUUUAUCCACAGCAAUCCGUACCGCAAACCAACUCAGGUGGGUGGGAUGAACAAUCCAAGGCGCUCGAGAGAACUCUGGCCAAGGAACUCGGCAAAAUAACCCCGUAACUUCGGAAGAAGGGGUGCUCUCUAGGGUGACAUGUUUAACAUAUGAAGCCCCGGGGAGCCGCAGUGAAUUGGUGGUGGCGACUGUUUACUAAAAACAUAGGUCUGUGCGAAGUCCUAAAGACGACGUAUACGGACUGACGCCUGCCCGGUGCUGGAAGGUUAAAAGGAGGGGUCAGCGCAAGCAAAGCUCCGAAUUGAAGCCCCAGUAAACGGCGGCCGUAACUAUAACGGUCCUAAGGUAGCGAAAUUCCUUGUCGGGUAAGUUCCG